GGAUGAACGCUGGCGGCGUGCCUAAUACAUGCAAGUCGAGCGAACGGACGAGAAGCUUGCUUCUCUGAUGUUAGCGGCGGACGGGUGAGUAACACGUGGAUAACCUACCUAUAAGACUGGGAUAACUUCGGGAAACCGGAGCUAAUACCGGAUAAUAUUUUGAACCGCAUGGUUCAAAAGUGAAAGACGGUCUUGCUGUCACUUAUAGAUGGAUCCGCGCUGCAUUAGCUAGUUGGUAAGGUAACGGCUUACCAAGGCAACGAUGCAUAGCCGACCUGAGAGGGUGAUCGGCCACACUGGAACUGAGACACGAUCCAGACUCCUACGGGAGGCAGCAGUAGGGAAUCUUCCGCAAUGGGCGAAAGCCUGACGGAGCAACGCCGCGUGAGUGAUGAAGGUCUUCGGAUCGUAAAACUCUGUUAUUAGGGAAGAACAUAUGUGUAAGUAACUGUGCACAUCUUGACGGUACCUAAUCAGAAAGCCACGGCUAACUACGUG
RNAcentral lists this ribosomal RNA (498 nucleotides) under uncultured bacterium. RNAcentral describes it as "partial 16S ribosomal RNA". It matches the Rfam family "Bacterial small subunit ribosomal RNA", at positions 27 to 507 of the family's 1533-position model. The record is from RNAcentral.